Molecule: ribosomal RNA, 717 nt
Filed under: uncultured bacterium
Lineage: Bacteria
Description: bacterial SSU rRNA
Rfam family: Bacterial small subunit ribosomal RNA
Source: RNAcentral
GCUCCAGUGGCGGACGGGUGAGUAACGCGUGAGAAUCUACCUUCAGGAUGGGGACAACCGUUGGAAACGACGGCUAAUUCCCAAUGUGCCGAGAGGUGAAAGGUUUCGACCGCCUGAAGAGGAGCUCGCGUCCGAUUAGUUUGUUGGUGGGGUAAGAGCUCACCAAGGCAGCGAUCGGUAGCUGGUCUGAGAGGAUGAGCAGCCACACUGGGACUGAGACACGGCCCAGACUCCUACGGGAGGCAGCAGUGGGGAAUUUUCCGCAAUGGGCGAAAGCCUGACGGAGCAACGCCGCGUGUGGGAAGAAGGCUCUUGGGCUGUCAACCACUUUUCUCAGGGAAGAAGUUCUGACGGUACCUGAGGAAUCAGCCUCGGCUAACUCCGUGCCAGCAGCCGCGGUAAUACGGAGGAGGCAAGCGUUAUCCGGAAUUAUUGGGCGUAAAGCGUCCGCAGGGGGCUCAUCAAGUCUGCUGUUAAAGGUCGGAGCUUAACUCCGAUACAGCAGUGGAAACUGAUGGGCUAGAGGGCGACAGGGGUAGAGGGAAUUCCCAGUGUAGCGGUGAAAUGCGUAGAGAUUGGGAAGAACACCGGUGGCGAAAGCGCUCUACUGGGUCGCACCUGACCCUCAGGGACGAAAGCUAAGGGAGCGAAAGGGAUUAGAUACCCCUGUAGUCUUAGCUGUAAACGAUGGAUACUAGGCGUGGUUUGUAUCGACCC